GUGGAGCUUGGACCCAGGUCCCAGGCCAAUGCAAAUUCAACCCAUGUACUUUCCGAACCUGUUCAUGAAAAAACUAAACUAAACAGAACACAGGCGCCCAUAAACUUGACGCGCGCGCGCUUCGCACCGAAAACAGAAACCAAAGGAGCAAAACCUCAAACACACAGCAUUUUCCAGCUUUCAACGAUGUUGGACGCCGAUGAUGAUGGCUUCGGCGAUUUCAAGUUCGCGCCAUUCGAUCAUACCGUCCGUUCCAAUCCCAUUCUUAUGAACGGUCGAGAUUCAGCUGCUGCGACCAACGAUGACGAAGACUGGGGAGAUUUCGUCAACUCCGGUGGACUAUCCCACGCCCUAUCGCUCCCCAAAAUCUCGAAGCCCCUUGACCCGUUCGGAUUUUCUACAGAUCAAAAAGUGAAAAACAAUGAUUCGGAACCCAACCAGCCUGGAUCAGCACCUGGUCGGGUUAAAUCGGGCAUGGCUCAAUGGGAGAAGCCAAAAGGAGCUUUGCCUCUU
This 513-nucleotide unclassified non-coding RNA is filed under the name Hevea brasiliensis (rubber tree). Lineage: Eukaryota; Viridiplantae; Streptophyta; Magnoliopsida; Malpighiales; Euphorbiaceae. The record is from RNAcentral.